Molecule: transfer RNA, 75 nt
Filed under: Bacillus sp. M6-12
Lineage: Bacteria; Bacillati; Bacillota; Bacilli; Caryophanales; Bacillaceae
Description: tRNA-Asn
Rfam family: tRNA
About the family: Transfer RNA (tRNA) molecules are approximately 80 nucleotides in length. Their secondary structure includes four short double-helical elements and three loops (D, anti-codon, and T loops). Further hydrogen bonds mediate the characteristic L-shaped molecular structure. tRNAs have two regions of fundamental functional importance: the anti-codon, which is responsible for specific mRNA codon recognition, and the 3' end, to which the tRNAs corresponding amino acid is attached (by aminoacyl-tRNA synthetases). tRNAs cope with the degeneracy of the genetic code in two manners: having more than one tRNA (with a specific anti-codon) for a particular amino acid; and 'wobble' base-pairing, i.e. permitting non-standard base-pairing at the 3rd anti-codon position.
Source: RNAcentral
UCUGGUAUAGCUCAAUGGUAGAGCGUUGCACUGUUAAUGCAAAUGUUGUAGGUUCGAGUCCUACUACCAGAGCCA